AUGCUUGCUUCAGCAGCGCAUACACUAAAACUGGAACGAUGCAGAGAUUAGCAUGCCCCCAUGAAAGGAUGACACCCAGAUUUAUGAAGAAUUCCAUAUUUUU
Molecule: small nuclear RNA, 103 nt
Filed under: Echinops telfairi (small Madagascar hedgehog)
Lineage: Eukaryota; Metazoa; Chordata; Mammalia; Afrosoricida; Tenrecidae
Source: RNAcentral